GGCCAGUUAGCUCAGUGGCUUCAGCGCGGUGCUGGCAACAAUGACCAACACCGAGGUUGUGGGUUCGAUUCCCGCUUGGUCC
RNAcentral lists this transfer RNA (82 nucleotides) under Apaloderma vittatum (bar-tailed trogon). It matches the Rfam family "tRNA". From Rfam's summary of the family: Transfer RNA (tRNA) molecules are approximately 80 nucleotides in length. Lineage: Eukaryota; Metazoa; Chordata; Aves; Trogoniformes; Trogonidae. The record is from Rfam by way of RNAcentral.